CUUCUACCCAUCCAUGGACAAGGAGCUGAUAUCAGGCGCUAUAAAUUGCCCAAAACAUCUAGCCACGCCACACCCACAAGGGUCACCAGCAGUGAUUAACAUUAAAAAUAAACGUCAGUUUGAUUCAGCCAGUGAAAACAGAACCGGCAAAUCUGGUGCCAGCCGCCGCGGUUACACCACGUGGUUCAAAUUGAUUUUUUCCGGCGUAAAGCGUGAUUAAAGGAAACAACCCAUGGGGUCAAACUUAAACUAAGCUGUAACACGACUGUUCUUAAGAAAGUCAUACCACAAAUACCCCAACCAAACUACUUGAACUCACGAUAACUAGGAUACAAACUGGGAUUAGAUACCCCACUAUGCCUAAUCAUAAACUCUAACUUACACUACCAUCGCCUGGGAACUACGAGCAAAGCUUAAAACCCAAAGGACUUGACGGUGCCCCAUAUCCAUCUAGAGGAGCCUGUCCUAUAACCGAUACCCCGCGUUUAACCUCACCAUUUUUAGUUUUCAGCCUGUAUACUUCCGUCGCCAGCUUACCGCAUGAGCGUUAUUAGUAAGCUUAGUGUCCACCCGCCAAUACGUCAGGUCAAAGUGCAGCAAAUAAAAUGGGAAGAGAUGGGCUACACUUUCUAUUAUAGAAAAUACGAAAGACUACGUGAAAUACAAUCAGAAGGCGGAUUUAGCAGUAAGAGGAAACAGAAUAUUCCUCUUAACCAGGCACUGGGGUGUGUACACACCGCCCGUCACCCUCUUC
Molecule: ribosomal RNA, 754 nt
Filed under: Pristimantis celator (La Delicia robber frog)
Lineage: Eukaryota; Metazoa; Chordata; Amphibia; Anura; Strabomantidae
Description: partial 12S ribosomal RNA
Rfam family: Bacterial small subunit ribosomal RNA
Source: RNAcentral